This 221-nucleotide long non-coding RNA is filed under the name Ananas comosus (pineapple). Its description in RNAcentral is "long non-coding RNA (ACOM_LNC036541)". The record is from RNAcentral. Lineage: Eukaryota; Viridiplantae; Streptophyta; Magnoliopsida; Poales; Bromeliaceae.
GACCGGUCCCUGAUAGGAGAGACCGGUCCCCUCGGAACAGUGUUGCGGCAGUCUGCGAGGCAACCGGUCCCUUACGGAUGAGAUCGGUCCCCGAGCGCGACUACGCGGGGAGAGACCGGUCCCAUGCGGGGAGAGACCGGUUCCCGAACAUUGGUUUUGCGGGAUGAACCGAGAGACCGGUCCCAGGCAAGGAGAGACCGGUCCCUCUGGGCGAAAAUUGC